GGAGACUGCUUUGACCUGGCGCGGUGACGUCAAUAAAAAUAAGGUAUUCUGGAUGAAAGCCUGGGAAACCUGGGAUCCACGACUGUGUGUGCGUGCUCAGUCCUGACUGACCCUUUGUGACCCCAUGGACUGUGGCCCACCAGGCUCGUCUGUCCAUGAAAUUUUCCAGUGUGGGCAAACUCUCCAGUGAGCGCCGUUCUGGUUGACAAAUUGGAUUGCAACCUCCUAAGAGACGCUGAGCCACAGGCACCCAGCUAAGCUGCUCACAAAUUCCUGAUCCCCAAAGAAACUGGAGCCACCUAAGUCAGACAUGCAAAAAACCUUAGCGAUCAUCUGGUUCAGUUCUGUUGGGUCACAGAGGAGGAUUCUAAUGGCUAGAGAUUAAUUGAAUGGUCCAAGGUUACACAGACUCAGCUGCAUAUAACAUGCAGACCAGGGCACAUUCUGAUGCACAGUCACGACAGUCACAAGGCAGCCAGGCCACCCUGGAAGAACCACCUGAGUGUUCUGAUAGAAUCUGGUCUCCAGGGAGAGCUGCCAUCGAGGGCUUCAUGCCUUAUUGAUGCACGCCAUUCCUCACACCAAGAGACUGAGCCUGUUUCUCCUCCCCUUGAAUCUGGACCGGCCCUGUGACUGACUUAGACCAGUCGGUUGCUCUGGCUACUGCUGCUGCUGCUAAGUCGCUUCAGUCGUGUCUGACUCUGUGCAACCCCGUAGACGGCAGCCCACAAGGCUCCCCCGUCCCUGGGAUUCUCCAGGCAAGAACACUGGAGUGGGUUGCCAUUUCCUUCUCCAAUGCAUGAAAGUGAAAAGGGAAAGUGAAGUCACUCGGUCAUGUCCGACUCCUAGCGACCCCAUGGACUGUAGCCUACGAGGCUCCUCCGUCCAUGGGAUUUGCCAGGCAAGAGUACUGGAGUAAGGUGCCAUCGCCUUCUCCGUUGCUCUGGCUAUGACUCUACUAAUACCAGGUCAAGGCUUCAGGAGGGUGGGAGCUUCUGCUUCCUCUCUCUUGGAAGAGAGCUGCAGUGUGGGGAGUCCAGCUGCCUUGGGACCAUGUCACUAGGAG
Molecule: long non-coding RNA, 1066 nt
Organism: Bos taurus (domestic cattle)
Lineage: Eukaryota; Metazoa; Chordata; Mammalia; Artiodactyla; Bovidae
Source: Ensembl